Molecule: ribosomal RNA, 553 nt
Filed under: uncultured Methanospirillum sp.
Lineage: Archaea; Methanobacteriati; Methanobacteriota; Methanomicrobia; Methanomicrobiales; Methanospirillaceae
Description: bacterial SSU rRNA
Rfam family: Archaeal small subunit ribosomal RNA
Source: RNAcentral
CCUAUGGGGCGCAGCAGGCGCGAAAACUUUACAAUGCGGGCAACCGUGAUAAGGAAACCCCGAGUGCCAGCACAGGCUGGCUGUCCAUCAGUGUAAACAGCUGGUGAAGAAAGGGCCGGGCAAGACCGGUGCCAGCCGCCGCGGUAAUACCGGCGGCUCGAGUGGUGGCCGCUAUUACUGGGCUUAAAGGGUCCGUAGCUUGAUAUACAAGUCCCUUGAGAAAUCCGCCAGCUUAACUGGCGGGCGUUCAGGGGAAACUGUAUUUCUAGGGACCGGGAGAGGUGAGAGGUACUGCCGGGGUAGGAGUGAAAUCCUGUAAUCCCGGUGGGACCACCUAUGGCGAAGGCAUCUCACCAGAACGGGUCCGACAGUGAGGGACGAAAGCUGGGGGAGCAAACCGGAUUAGAUACCCGGGUAGUCCCAGCUGUAAACGAUGCGCGUUAGGUGUGUCAGUGACCACGUGUCACUGAGGUGCCGAAGGGAAACCGUGAAACGCGCCGCCUGGGGAGUACGGUCGCAAGGCUGAAACUUAAAGGAAUUGGCGGGGGAGCAC